Molecule: long non-coding RNA, 244 nt
Organism: Sinocyclocheilus grahami
Lineage: Eukaryota; Metazoa; Chordata; Actinopteri; Cypriniformes; Cyprinidae
Exons: 4
Source: RefSeq, a predicted model, not a curated record
AGAGACGUGGCCAUGAAAGCAUUGAAUGCCACUGGUCAAAACCAUAUUAGUAUGGAUUCUCUGUAUAAGGUUUUAUCCAUGAAUCCAGUAUGUAAUUGGAUCACCGUUUAUACAACCGUCAUGAGUGCCGGCACUCCUGAGAAGUACACAACAGUUGUCAGAGAUAUGUGUGUGUGAUGGAAUGAGCCGUUUUCUUGAUCAACUCAGCCAGAAUUUUCACCCAGCUUAGUUCUGAACUGCCCAA